GCCCGAGUAGCUCAGACGGCAGAGCAGCGGUUUCGUAAACCGCAGGCCGUGGGUUCGAGUCCCACCUCGGGCU
RNAcentral lists this transfer RNA (73 nucleotides) under Actinomycetes bacterium. RNAcentral describes it as "Actinobacteria bacterium tRNA-Thr". It matches the Rfam family "tRNA". From Rfam's summary of the family: Transfer RNA (tRNA) molecules are approximately 80 nucleotides in length. Their secondary structure includes four short double-helical elements and three loops (D, anti-codon, and T loops). Further hydrogen bonds mediate the characteristic L-shaped molecular structure. tRNAs have two regions of fundamental functional importance: the anti-codon, which is responsible for specific mRNA codon recognition, and the 3' end, to which the tRNAs corresponding amino acid is attached (by aminoacyl-tRNA synthetases). tRNAs cope with the degeneracy of the genetic code in two manners: having more than one tRNA (with a specific anti-codon) for a particular amino acid; and 'wobble' base-pairing, i.e. permitting non-standard base-pairing at the 3rd anti-codon position. Lineage: Bacteria; Bacillati; Actinomycetota; Actinomycetes. The record is from RNAcentral. RNAcentral also lists the same sequence under 1 other name.